Molecule: long non-coding RNA, 530 nt
Filed under: Mytilus galloprovincialis (Mediterranean mussel)
Lineage: Eukaryota; Metazoa; Mollusca; Bivalvia; Mytilida; Mytilidae
Source: RNAcentral
GUUCAGGGGCAGCAACCCAAUAACGGGUUGUCGGAUUCAUCUGAAAAUUUGAGGGCAGAUAGAUCUUGACCUGAUAAACAAUUUUACCCCAUGUCAGAUUUGCUCUAAAUGCUUUGGUUUUUGAGUUACAAGCCAAAAACUGCAUUUUACCCCUAUGUUCUAUUUUUAGCCAUGGCGGCCAUCUUGGUUGGUUGGGCGGGUCACCGGACACAAUUUUUAAACUAGAUACCCUAAUAAUGAUUAUGGCAAUGUUUGGUUAAAUUUGGCCCUGCAGUUUCAGAGGAGAAGAUUUUUGUAAAAGUUAACGAUGCCGGACGCCGGACGACGACGGAUGCCAAGUGAUGGGAAAAGCUCACUUGGCCCUUCGGGCCAGGUGAGCUAAAAAGUAAAUAAAAAGCUUUUAAAUCAGGAUCAAAGCAAUUUAUAACAUAAGCUUUAAACACAUAAACUAAAUUUAUUACAUUGAUUUAGAUCAGUAAAACAAUAAACAAAUAUUCCGAAGAAAAGGCUACAACAUUUUAAGGUGGUAC